RNAcentral lists this ribosomal RNA (484 nucleotides) under uncultured bacterium. RNAcentral describes it as "partial 16S ribosomal RNA". It matches the Rfam family "Bacterial small subunit ribosomal RNA", at positions 30 to 507 of the family's 1533-position model. The record is from RNAcentral.
AUUGAACGCUGGCGGCAGGCCUAACACAUGCAAGUCGAGCGGAUGAAGGGAGCUUGCUCCUGGAUUCAGCGGCGGACGGGUGAGUAAUGCCUAGGAAUCUGCCUGGUAGUGGGGGGUAACGUCCGGAAACGGGCGCUAAUACCGCAUACGUCCUGAGGGAGAAAGUGGGGGAUCUUCGGACCUCACGCUAUCAGAUGAGCCUAGGUCGGAUUAGCUAGUUGGUGGGGUAAAGGCCUACCAAGGCGACGAUCCGUAACUGGUCUGAGAGGAUGAUCAGUCACACUGGAACUGAGACACGGUCCAGACUCCUACGGGAGGCAGCAGUGGGGAAUAUUGGACAAUGGGCGAAAGCCUGAUCCAGCCAUGCCGCGUGUGUGAAGAAGGUCUUCGGAUUGUAAAGCACUUUAAGUUGGGAGGAAGGGCAGUAAGUUAAUACCUUGCUGUUUUGACGUUACCAACAGAAUAAGCACCGGCUAACUUCGUA